CCCCGCAGUGCUGUGACUGUAUUUCAUGCCUUACUAGUGGUAUCUGGACCUGUUUCUGUGUGUGUACCUUGGAAGACCGAAAGCUGUUGGAUUUCGUGAAUUGAAGAUGCCUACAAGAAAUAUAUCUUAGAGCUAUCAUCUAGCAUGAUCUGUAAAGGUGUUGAAGACGCUGUACAUCAGGCAAGAGUGUGAUUGUUCAACAGACAUGUCAGAGGGAUGAUGAAUGAUAUCAAUAAAAAAUAAAAAAAUAGAA
Ornithodoros turicata is the source of this 253-nucleotide long non-coding RNA. RefSeq lists it as uncharacterized. The record is from RefSeq and is a predicted model, not a curated record. NCBI's taxonomy places the organism in Eukaryota, Metazoa, Arthropoda, Arachnida, Ixodida, Argasidae. The transcript has 2 exons.